RNAcentral lists this ribosomal RNA (394 nucleotides) under uncultured bacterium. Its description in RNAcentral is "partial 16S ribosomal RNA". It matches the Rfam family "Bacterial small subunit ribosomal RNA", at positions 523 to 918 of the family's 1533-position model. The record is from RNAcentral.
AUACGUAGGGAGCGAGCGUUGUCCGGAAUUACUGGGCGUAAAGGGCGCGUAGGCGGCGCUUCAAGUCGUCUGUCAAAUGGGAGGGCUUAACCCUUUUUCGCAGACGAAACUGGAGAGCUUGAGAAGCAGAGAGGCAAACAGAAUUCCUGGUGUAGCGGUGAAAUGCGUAGAUAUCAGGAAGAAUACCAGUGGCGAAGGCGGUUUGCUGGCUGCAUACUGACGCUGAAGCGCGAAAGCCAGGGGAGCGAACGGGAUUAGAUACCCCGGUAGUCCUGGCAGUAAACGAUGUAUGCUGGGUGUGAGACUAGCGAUAGUUUCGUGCCGAAGUUAACGCGAUAAGCAUACCGCCUGGGGAGUACGGUCGCAAGAUUGAAACUCAAAGGAAUUGGCGGGG